UGAGGAAUAUUGGUCAAUGGGCGCAAGCCUGAACCAGCCAUCCCGCGUGAAGGAUGAAGGUCCUAUGGAUUGUAAACUUCCUUUAUACACCAAGAAAAACUCGAACGUGUUCGAGCCCGACGGUAGUGUAUGAAUAAGCAUCGGCUAACUCCGUGCCAGCAGCCGCGGUAAUACGGAGGAUGCAAGCGUUAUCCGGAUUUAUUGGGUUUAAAGGGUGCGUAGGCGGCUUUUUAAGUCAGUGGUGAAAUCUUGCCGCUUAACGGUAAAAUUGCCAUUGAUACUGAUAAGCUUGAUUACAAUUAAGAUAAGCGGAAUGUGUAGUGUAGCGGUGAAAUGCUUAGAUAUUACACAGAACACCGAUGGCGAAGGCAGCUUACUAACCGGUUACUGACGCUGAUGCACAAAAGCGUGGGGAGCGAAAA
Molecule: ribosomal RNA, 422 nt
Filed under: uncultured bacterium
Lineage: Bacteria
Description: bacterial SSU rRNA
Rfam family: Bacterial small subunit ribosomal RNA
Source: RNAcentral